Molecule: unclassified non-coding RNA, 403 nt
Filed under: soil metagenome
Description: partial contains 5.8S ribosomal RNA, internal transcribed spacer 2, and large subunit ribosomal RNA
Rfam family: 5.8S ribosomal RNA (bases 1-120)
Source: RNAcentral
GAUGAAGAACGUAGUGAAUUGCGAUAUGUAAUGUGAAUUGCAGAAUUCAGUGAAUCAUCGAAUCUUUGAACGCAUAUUGCACCCUCUGGUAUUCCGGAGGGUAUGCCUGUUUGAGUGUCAUUAUUGUCUCAAACCAAAGGAAUUUUUUUUCUUUGUGAUUUGGAUGUUGAAGGUUUGCUGGCUGUUUCUGUCAGCUCCUUUUAAAUGCAUUAGCAGGACUUGUGCAGUACCAGCUCUGGUUUGAUACAUUGAUAUCUGAGCUAUUGCUGGAACUGCUCUCGGUUCCGCUUCUUAACUGUCUGCACUGGCUGUGGACUUGUCCAACUGGGCAAAAUUAAUGAUAAAUUGACCUCAAAUCAGGUAGGACUACCCGCUGAACUUAAGCAUAUCAAUAAGCGGAGGA